Molecule: ribosomal RNA, 761 nt
Filed under: Prevotella melaninogenica
Lineage: Bacteria; Pseudomonadati; Bacteroidota; Bacteroidia; Bacteroidales; Prevotellaceae
Description: bacterial SSU rRNA
Rfam family: Bacterial small subunit ribosomal RNA
Source: RNAcentral
GAUGAACGCUAGCUACAGGCUUAACACAUGCAAGUCGAGGGGAAACGGCAUUGAGUGCUUGCACUCUUUGGACGUCGACCGGCGCACGGGUGAGUAACGCGUAUCCAACCUUCCCAUUACUGUGGGAUAACCUGCCGAAAGGCAGACUAAUACCGCAUAGUCUUCGAUGACGGCAUCAGAUUUGAAGUAAAGAUUUAUCGGUAAUGGAUGGGGAUGCGUCUGAUUAGCUUGUUGGCGGGGUAACGGCCCACCAAGGCAACGAUCAGUAGGGGUUCUGAGAGGAAGGUCCCCCACAUUGGAACUGAGACACGGUCCAAACUCCUACGGGAGGCAGCAGUGAGGAAUAUUGGUCAAUGGAUGGAAGUCUGAACCAGCCAAGUAGUGUGCAGGAUGACGGCCCUAUGGGUUGUAAACUGCUUUUGUAUGGGGAUAAAGUUAGGGACGUGUCCCUAUUUGCAGGUACCAUACGAAUAAGGACCGGCUAAUUCCGUGCCAGCAGCCGCGGUAAUACGGAAGGUCCAGGCGUUAUCCGGAUUUAUUGGGUUUAAAGGGAGCGUAGGCUGGAGAUUAAGUGUGUUGUGAAAUGUAGACGCUCAACGUCUGAAUUGCAGCGCAUACUGGUUUCCUUGAGUACGCACAACGUUGGCGGAAUUCGUCGUGUAGCGGUGAAAUGCUUAGAUAUGACGAAGAACUCCGAUUGCGAAGGCAGCUGACGGGAGCGCAACUGACGCUUAAGCUCGAAGGUGCGGGUAUCAAACAGG